CAAAAACAUCGCCUCUUGACAAUAUAUAAGAGGUCUAGCCUGCCCAGUGACUCUGUUCAACGGCCGCGGUAUCCUAACCGUGCGAAGGUAGCGUAAUCACUUGUUCUUUAAAUGAGGACUAGUAUGAAUGGCAUUACGAGGGUUAUACUGUCUCCUUUUCCUAAUCAGUGAAACUAAUCUCCUCGUGAAGAAGCAAGGAUAAACAUAUAAGACGAGAAGACCCUAUGGAGCUUUAAACUUCCAGCAAUUAUCUUUUUUACAUCAGCCUUAAGGUAAUCAAAUUAAUCUUAAUAUUAUGCCUGUUAGUUUUCGGUUGGGGUGACCGCGGAGUAAAAAUUACCCUCCGCAAUGAAUACUAAACGUUUAAGCAACAAACUACAAUUUUAUGCAUCAAAAAAUUGACACUAUUGACCCAACAUUUUGAUCAACGAACCAAGUUACCCUAGGGAUAACAGCGCAAUCCAUCUCAAGAGCUCAUAUCGACAGAUGGGUUUACGACCUCGAUGUUGGAUCAGGGUAUCCCAGUGGUGCAGCCGCUACAAAAGGUUCGUUUGUUCAACGAUUAAAACCCUACGUGAUCU
RNAcentral lists this ribosomal RNA (581 nucleotides) under Pithecopus hypochondrialis group sp. ABGD cluster 14. RNAcentral describes it as "partial large subunit ribosomal RNA". It matches the Rfam family "Bacterial large subunit ribosomal RNA", at positions 1808 to 2606 of the family's 2925-position model. The record is from RNAcentral. Lineage: Eukaryota; Metazoa; Chordata; Amphibia; Anura; Hylidae.